AGAGUUUGAUCAUGGCUCAGGACGAACGCUGGCGGCACGCUUAACACAUGCAAGUCGAACGAGCGAUGAGAGCUUGCUCUCAAAGCGAGUGACGGACGGGUGAGUAACACGUGAGCAACCUGCCUUUAAGAGGGGAAUAACGUUUGGAAACGAACGCUAAUACCGCAUAAUACAGAAGAUUCGCAUGUUUCUUCUGUCAAAGAUUUAUCGCUUAAAGAUGGGCUCGCGUCUGAUUAGCUGGUUGGUGAGGUAACGGCCCACCAAGGCGACGAUCAGUAGCCGUACUGAGAGGUAGAACGGCCACAUUGGGACUGAGACACGGCCCAGACUCCUACGGGAGGCAGCAGUGGGGAAUAUUGCACAACGGAGGAAACUCUGAUGCAGCGAUGCCGCGUGAGGGAAGAAGGUUUUCGGAUUGUAAACCUCUGUCUUCAGGGACGAAAAUGACGGUACCCGAGGAGGAAGCUCCGGCUAACUACGUGCCAGCAGCCGCGGUAAUACGUAGGGAGCGAGCGUUGUCCGGAAUUACUGGGUGUAAAGGGAGCGUAGGCGGGGCUUUAAGUCAGGUGUGAAAUGUAUGGGCUCAACCCGUAAACUGCACUUGAAACUGAGGCUCUUGAGUGAAGUAGAGGCAGGCGGAAUUCCUAGUGUAGCGGUGAAAUGCGUAGAUAUUAGGAGGAACAUCAGUGGCGAAGGCGGCCUGCUGGGCUUUUACUGACGCUGAGGCUCGAAAGCGUGGGGAGCAAACAGGAUUAGAUACCCUGGUAGUCCACGCUGUAAACGAUGAUUACUAGGUGUGGGGGGACUGACCCCUUCCGUGCCGCAGUUCACACCAUAAGUAAU
This 843-nucleotide ribosomal RNA is filed under the name uncultured bacterium. Its description in RNAcentral is "bacterial SSU rRNA". It matches the Rfam family "Bacterial small subunit ribosomal RNA", at positions 8 to 868 of the family's 1533-position model. The record is from RNAcentral.